UGCCUGCCACAGUAGAGGACCGUGCUGGGGCAGCCACAUCUGAUCUACCUCUGCCGCCACUGUGGUUGAGUGUGUACAGAAUUUCAUUAUUGCAAAGGAUUAUUUGAAACUGAAUAUGGUGGCUGUUGACAAAGUGCACCAUUUAUUAUCAAAUAUUCAAUUAAUUUCUUUUUAGUUUUCCAAUAAAAACUAGUUCAAGUAUUGAAUAAUUAUUAUCCUGCUUGUUGCCAUUUUUUCUCUCUUGUUGGUGUCGUUGGAUUUCGAAAAAGAAAUGUUGUAUAUGUGUGUGUGUGUGUAUAUAUAUAUAUAUAUAAAUAUCAAACUAAUGGAAAACCCUUUUUGAAGCUACCCACUAACCAGAGUAAGUAAAAGAACACAACGGGCAAAACUCUCAACCUUUACGCUGACAGAUGACGGGACGUAUUCAUCUGACAAUUUCUCCUGCACCCGGCUUGGGGAAGAGGAAGAGCUGACACGAAAAAAAAAGAAAAAAGAAAAGACUUUCUUUUCUCUUAUUCGUUCCCCUCC
Molecule: long non-coding RNA, 528 nt
Filed under: Carica papaya (papaya)
Lineage: Eukaryota; Viridiplantae; Streptophyta; Magnoliopsida; Brassicales; Caricaceae
Description: long non-coding RNA (CPAP_LNC016484)
Source: RNAcentral